This 72-nucleotide transfer RNA is filed under the name Candidatus Omnitrophota bacterium. RNAcentral's name for it is "tRNA-Gln". It matches the Rfam family "tRNA". From Rfam's summary of the family: Transfer RNA (tRNA) molecules are approximately 80 nucleotides in length. Their secondary structure includes four short double-helical elements and three loops (D, anti-codon, and T loops). Further hydrogen bonds mediate the characteristic L-shaped molecular structure. tRNAs have two regions of fundamental functional importance: the anti-codon, which is responsible for specific mRNA codon recognition, and the 3' end, to which the tRNAs corresponding amino acid is attached (by aminoacyl-tRNA synthetases). tRNAs cope with the degeneracy of the genetic code in two manners: having more than one tRNA (with a specific anti-codon) for a particular amino acid; and 'wobble' base-pairing, i.e. permitting non-standard base-pairing at the 3rd anti-codon position. Lineage: Bacteria; Pseudomonadati; Candidatus Omnitrophota. The record is from RNAcentral. RNAcentral also lists the same sequence under 1 other name.
UGCCCUGUGGUGUAAUUGGCAACACAUGAGAUUCUGGUUCUUAGAUUCCAGGUUCGAGUCCUGGCGGGGCAG